GUGUCUCAAUCUUUUUAAUUUAGUUGCAUGGAAAGCCAAUUGUCUAGUGGAAGUAAUGGUUUAUAUAGAUUUAAAUCAUGUUACUGCCUGAGGAAGUUGCUAGUUGGGUGGGGAGAGUGGAGGGAGUAUUCGAUCUAAGAAAGAAGAAUAUUUACAUUAGGCUGGAAUUGCUGAGGAGCAUUUGAAAUAUCUAAUUCUGAAUUAAGGUUUUUUAACACCUAAGUUUGUACUAAGUUAAAGUUUGCCAUAAAGUCUGUGAUAAAGAACAGAAUAAACAGCAUCAGCCCCUGACUGGUUUUGACCUUGAGUUCUAGCCACAAAGCCAUUUUAUCUGGGGAUAGUGGCUGAUGAUUCAGGUGAGUCCUGAAAGCUGAAGGAAGAACUGAUUACUUUUGAAGAUUCUUGUUCCAUUUAUCUUGUGCUCCACACUGCCUAGUGUAGCUCCUCAUACAUGAUUGGCACCCCAAAAUAUUUGUUGAGCUGAAAUUACUGUCUGCCAACUGAACAAGCACAAUGAGGGUGUGAAGGACAGGACAAUACUUAACUAAGCUUGUGCAGUUGAGAGACAAUUGCCUUAAGGAGUGAGAGAGGAGUUCCUGCCUUGGCACAGUGGGUUAGGAAUCCAACUUCAGAGGCUCAAGUCGCUGUGGAGGUAUGGGUUUGACCCAGCAUUGCCAGAGCUGCCAGGUAGUUCAUAGCUGCAGCUUGGAUUCAGUCCUUGGCCAGGGAACUCCCAAAUGCCACUGGUACAGCCAUUUUUUUUUUUUUUUUAAAUGAGUUAGAGGGACCUCUGAGGGAGGGAAAGAGGAAGGGGAAGUGGUUGAUGUGCCUUAUCACAGAACUUUUCAUGGGAUGAAAACACAAAUGCCUUGAUUCUCAGAGGAUGCAAAGCAAUGAGAAUCAAACCCAAGGAAACCACUUACAAAGAAAGGUGGAGUUUGCUUAGGAAGGGCAAUAUGGGGGUUAUCAUGUUUUCCAUUCAUACACAAAUUCAUUCCAGGAAUAGCCAUUCUCCAUAGCAGGUGUCACUCUGGUCCCUCACGUGACAUGGCCAUCUGGUGUGCCUUGGAUAGGAAUUUUUUAAAAUACUAGGUUGGCUCUGACAAUUGUUAACAUUAUGGUGAAAUGACUUCAGAGGAAGCACAUCGAAAGCAAGAGACAAUCUAGUCCCCCUAACUCUGGAACAUCAAUGGUCAGACAGGUAAUCAAGAGAUAACACAUUGUUUUAUGUUCCCUGAUACAAUAUCUUGGAGUCAUCUGUUAUUUAAUAACGAAGGCUAAUGAAAAAUUUAUGUUGAACCUAUUUCUAAGCUAUUUAUAUCAGCUUUUAGCUGACUGCUAUUCAGAGUAGCUGACUGCUAGAGUAGAUGAAGUUGUCCAGGUAAGGGUAUAGCAGAGGAGCUGAGGGCCUGGAACAGAUGAGCUGAGUAUGCUUAUUUUGGAGAAGUGGAAAGUGGACAGCCUUAUAGGAUGAUGGGAGGGAACCAGGAGAGGUCUUUGAGUGAUCUAGAAUCCAAGAGUGUUUCCAGAAAGAAGAAGUGACUUUUAAUAAAUUUUAGUAAAGAGCUUUGUAGAUUUACUCCAUGAUAGUACUUUUGUUUGCUACUCAAUCUUCAGAGAGUUCUGCACUCACUAGAUAUUUCUGAGGUUAGUGAUCCAGAAACAUAUGUAAUCUACCCAGGUGCUUUAUAAAUGUAACAUUUUGAGUAAGUCUCCCAUGGCUGUGUUUUCUGAGCCAGAUAUUGAGUCACAUGAGCUGACUGUGGGGCAAAAUGUUUGACCUCAGGUUGUUCUGGAAAACUGUGAGUGAGGGCAGCCAUGGAUCUUUCCCCCAGCCUUUCCUUUGAGCAUGGAGGAAUCACAAUUAUAGUAUCUUCAUGUUUAGCCUCUCCACCCCUCAGAAUUUGUUACCAUCUAAAUAAAGACCUCUUCCAAGACCUCUAUGCCUUUUUUAAAAUGAGGACUAUUAGGAUUAUAUCUGACUUAAAAAUACUACUUAUUGGAGAACAUUCUCAUUACAGAAAAUACAAAAAAUUAGAGAAAAAUCUCUCAUUAUACAGGAAUCUAUGUCUCUAUUUACAUUUUAUUUUAUUUUUAUUGCUUUUUUAGGGCUGCACUUGUGUGCAUUUCGAAGUUCCUGGGUGGGGGUCAAAUUGCAGCUGUAGCUGCAGGCCUAUGCCACCGCUACAACUAUGCCAGAUUUGAGCCUCGCCUGCAACCUACACCUUCCUUAACCCACUGAGCCAAGCCAGGGAUUGAACAUGCAUCCCUGGAUACUAGUUGGUUUCUUAAUCCACUGAGCCACAGUAGGAAUACCUCUGUUAACAUUUCAAAGUGUGUUCUUCUCCAUCUUUUUCUACACAUUUUUAAAACUUUCUUUUUAACAGUUCUUUUUUUUUUUUUUUUUUUUUUUUUUUUUUUUUUUUUGGAGCUACAGCUGCUGACCUAUGCCACAGCCACAACAACAGGAUCUGAGUUGUAUCUGUGACCUGCACCACAGCUUACAGUAAUGCCAGGUCCUUAACCCCUGAGCGAGGCCAGGAAUCAAACCCACAUCCUCAUGGAUGCUAUUCGGGUUUGUUUCCACUGCGCCACAAUGGGAACUCCUCUUUUUGACAGUUCUGAAUAAUUUUUAUAAAUAAUCUUAUGUGUUGUUUUUUUCUCCACUUGAUCUAAUACAGUUUCCAACUUUAAAGUCUUCAUAAGGUUUAUUUGUAAUAGUUACACUACAUAAUCUAAUUAACAAGGUCCCUAAGGUUAAACAUUUGUAUUAAUUACUGAUUUUUAUUAUUAUUAAUACUCUGCCUCUAACACAUUUAUUUUAAUGCUUUUACAUUUUUCACAAUAUUUAAUUUAACAGAUUAAGAAACAUAACUGUUUUUGAGGCUUUUGAUUUAAUUUGCUAAAUUGCUUUCUGUGUUGGGUACCAGUCAUCUUUACUAAAAUUACAGGCUUGGAAUUCCUGUUGUGGCUCAGCAGUGUUGCCAUAAGCUGCUGCAUAGGUCACAGAUGUGGCCCAGAUCCAGUGUUGCCCAGCUAUGGUGUAGGCCUCAACUGUAGCUCUGACUCAGCCCCUAGCUUGGGAAUUUCUAUAUGC
RNAcentral lists this long non-coding RNA (3097 nucleotides) under Sus scrofa (pig). RNAcentral's name for it is "lncRNA (ENSSSCG00000059117.1)". The record is from RNAcentral. Lineage: Eukaryota; Metazoa; Chordata; Mammalia; Artiodactyla; Suidae.